GUCGAAUGAAUCCCGUAGCAAUACGGGGGAAAUGGCGAAAGGGGCAGUAAUGCGUGGGUAACCUACCUUGGGGAUGGGCAUAGCCGGACUAACGUCCGGGUAAUUCCCAGCGAUUCGGCGGGCUGGCAUCAGUCUGCCGGGAAAUGAAUUUCGCCUCGAGAGGGGCCCACGUGAUAUUAGAUAGUUGGCGGUGUAACGGACCACCAAGUCUAAGAUGUCUAGCGGGUGUGAGAGCACGACCCGCGCCACUGGCACUGUGACACUGGCCAGACACCUACGGGUGGCUGCAGUCGAGGAUCUUCGUCAAUGGGCGAAAGCCUGAACGAGCGAUGCCGCGUGCGCGAUGAAGGCCUUCGGGUUGUAAAGCGCGAAAGAGGGAAUAAAGGGAAACUUGAUUGAACCUCAGUAAGCUCGGGCUAAGUUCGUGCCAGCAGCCGCGGUAAGACGAACCGAGCGAACGUUGUUCGGAAUCACUGGGCAUAAAGGGCGCGUAGGCGGGUGUGUAAGUCUGUGGUGAAAUACUCUAGCUCAACUAGAGAACUGCCUCGGAUACUGCGCAUCUCGAGUAAGGUAGGGGCACGUGGAACGGCUGGUGGAGCGGUGAAAUGCGUUGAUAUCAGUCGGAACUCCGGUGGCGAAGGCGAUGUGCUGGACCUUUACUGACGCUGAGGCGCGAAAGCCAGGGGAGCAAACGGGAUUAGAUACCCCGGUAGUCCUGGCCCUAAACGAUGAGAACUAGAUAGUAGACUUACAUGGGUUUACUGUCGAAGCAAAUGUGCUAAGUUCUCCGCCUGGGGAGUAUGGCCGCAAGGCUGAAACUCAAAGGAAUUGACGGGGGCUCACACAAGCGGUGGAGCAUGUGGCUUAAUUCGAGGCUACGCGAAGAACCCUUAUCCUGGACUUGACAUGUGCGAAAGCGAUAGGAAGUAGUGUGCGGAAACGUGCACGAACGGUAUCCAAUCCGGAACCUAUCACA
RNAcentral lists this ribosomal RNA (976 nucleotides) under uncultured Planctomycetota bacterium. RNAcentral's name for it is "bacterial SSU rRNA". It matches the Rfam family "Bacterial small subunit ribosomal RNA", at positions 61 to 1014 of the family's 1533-position model. Lineage: Bacteria; Pseudomonadati; Planctomycetota. The record is from RNAcentral.